Molecule: ribosomal RNA, 447 nt
Filed under: Triticum aestivum (bread wheat)
Lineage: Eukaryota; Viridiplantae; Streptophyta; Magnoliopsida; Poales; Poaceae
Description: partial small subunit ribosomal RNA
Source: RNAcentral
UCAAUCUACGCAGAGUGAAUCGGUCCCUAAGGAACCCCUGAAAGGGCUGCCGUCCGAUGGGUGCACGAAAGUGACGAAGUUGCUUUGACUACUGAACCAUGCCUGGAUCGUCGGAGCGAAUUGGAUGAUCGGGCGAGGGCUGCCCCCUCUUCCCCUCGCUCUCCUUUCCUUAAUAUUCACCGUCAAGUCAUCAAAGACGUCAACUAAUUCAGAGGGGCUCGGCUGGCCCGGUUGCCCUACGCUACUGGCGCUUCCAAAGGCGAAGCUCUCAUCUUUGGCGACCAGCAAACGGAGGGCUAAAACCUGUAGUUUUGAAGCAAGGGAUGAGCGCGAAAGCCGUUGCGCUUCCGUACACGUGCAUACGUUUUCUUGCUGGGGCGGACACGGAUUUCUCUCUAAAGGCGAAGAAAAAGAAGUGGGCGAACACUCGGCCCAGCGGGCGACCAU